This 430-nucleotide ribosomal RNA is filed under the name uncultured bacterium. RNAcentral describes it as "bacterial SSU rRNA". It matches the Rfam family "Bacterial small subunit ribosomal RNA", at positions 32 to 441 of the family's 1533-position model. The record is from RNAcentral.
AAUCAACGCUGGCGGCGUGCCUCAGACAUGCAAGUCGAACGCGAAAGUUCCCUUCGGGGAGCGAGUAGAGUGGCGCACGGGUGAGUAACACGUGGGUAAUUUACCUUCGGGUGGGGAAUAACAGUCGGAACGACUGCUAAUACCGCAUGAUGCAGCGGCACCACAUGGUGACAGUUGUUAAAGCGGGGGAGUCGCAAGACCUCGCGCCUGAAGAGAAGCCCGCGGCAGAUUAGCUAGUUGGUAAGGUAAUGGCUUACCAAGGCAACGAUCUGUAGCCGGCCUGAGAGGGCGGUCGGCCACACUGACACUGAAUAACGGGUCAGACUCCUACGGGAGGCAGCAGUCGGGAAUUUUGGGCAAUGGGCGAAAGCCUGACCCAGCAACGCCGCGUGAAGGAUGAAGUAUUUCGGUAUGUAAACUUCACAAGAAU